Molecule: ribosomal RNA, 405 nt
Rfam family: Bacterial small subunit ribosomal RNA
UGGGGAAUAUUGGUCAAUGGGGGAAACCCUGAACCAACAACGCCGCGUGAAGGAAGAAGGCCUUCGGGUUGUAAACUUCUUUGACAGGGGAAGAAAAAAAUGACGGUACCCUGAAAACAAGCCACGGCUAACUACGUGCCAGCAGCCGCGGUAAUACGUAGGUGGCAAGCGUUGUCCGGAUUUACUGGGUGUAAAGAGCACGUAGGCGGGACUGCAAGUCAGAUGUGAAAUUUAGAGGCUCAACCUCUAAACUGCAUUUGAAACUGUGGUUCUUGAGUGAUGGAGAGGCAGGCGGAAUUCCGAGUGUAGCGGUGAAAUGCGUAGAUAUUCGGAGGAACACCAGUGGCGAAGGCGGCCUGCUGGACAUUAACUGACGCUGAGGUGCGAAAGCGUGGGGAGCAAACA